RNAcentral lists this long non-coding RNA (735 nucleotides) under Nicotiana benthamiana. RNAcentral describes it as "long non-coding RNA (NBEN_LNC025670)". The record is from RNAcentral. Lineage: Eukaryota; Viridiplantae; Streptophyta; Magnoliopsida; Solanales; Solanaceae.
AAGUAUUUUACAUCUCCUAAAAGAUAAGUAAAUAGGAAUAACUAUUCAUAAUAAACGAAAUCAAUAACCUAAAAGACAAAGUAAUAGGUAAUAGGUAAAUGCAGGCGCAACAAGAACCUCGAGGUUGUAUAAAGCAACCUGAUUUAUAUCAAUUAGUUUUGCACUAUAAUUAAGAGAAAAUUAGUAAAACAGUCCUUCGCUCCUCUCUGUUCCUCCAUAAUUUAGCAUUAUAGACAACUUAGAGUCUACAUUGAGUUUGACCAGUGUCUAACAAGCAAAACAAAAGGAGUAAAGAAAGAUAAAAUUAAAGAAAUAAUGGAAAAUCUAAAAGACUAUAUGCCUGGCUCCCUUCUAUAUGCCUCUUUAAUUCCAAGCUUCAUUUUAGGGUUGGGCAGAUUUUAAGAGCCCAAUAAAAUGUUACCCUUCUCUUUGAGAAACUGAAAAUCUAAAAGACAAUUUGCCACUUGCUUUCUAUUGGCAAACUCUUUUCCACUUCUCUUCAUCAUAAUCUUCUGUCUGAAUGGAUUCAAAUAUCUCAAACUAUGAAAAUUAUAUAAAAACACUUCUUCUUCUCGGGGUAGUUGAGGUUGAGGGUAAGAAGAGAAAGGGUUAGGGAAUUUGUAGGAGUAGAUAUAUAGAGGAGAAAGUAGAGAGUACGAAAGGGAUUAAAUUAAAGAGUGCCAGACGGAAGAGGAAGAGGCAUCUUGUCCAUGCGGUUUAAUUUGUUUCUUCAGC